AUUGCUCCUAACCUGAUUCUGUUUGUGUUGUAUAGUUAUACCUACAUCAGAGAAGUAAGCUUGAGAUAUGCAGAUCCACAUAUUUUUUGUUGUCUUAUUUAUAUUUUUUUACUCAUGUCAGGCUGAACCCGAGUUUCAGCUUGUUGAACGAGGUCCAGUAUCAGAUGAUUUUCUUGCAAUUGGAGCAGCUUUAGCAGAUUUGCUGUUAAAAUUCUUCUUCUGAAAAAAAUCAAAACCGGAAACAAAUUCGAAUGAAUGAAGAAUCAAUAAAAUUCAACCAAUAA
Harmonia axyridis is the source of this 284-nucleotide long non-coding RNA. RefSeq lists it as uncharacterized. The transcript is spliced from 3 exons. Lineage: Eukaryota; Metazoa; Arthropoda; Insecta; Coleoptera; Coccinellidae. The record is from RefSeq and is a predicted model, not a curated record.